UACGGAGGGUGCAAGCGUUAUCCGGAUUCACUGGGUUUAAAGGGUGCGUAGGCGGACAGGUAAGUCAGUGGUGAAAUCUCUGGGCUUAACUCAGAAACUGCCGUUGAUACUAUCUGUCUUGAAUAUCCUGGAGGUAAGCGGAAUAUGUCAUGUAGCGGUGAAAUGCUUAGAUAUGACAUAGAACACCGAUAGCGAAGGCAGCUUACUACAGGAUGAUUGACGCUGAGGCACGAAAGCGUGGGGAGCAAACAGG
This 253-nucleotide ribosomal RNA is filed under the name uncultured bacterium. Its description in RNAcentral is "partial 16S ribosomal RNA". It matches the Rfam family "Bacterial small subunit ribosomal RNA", at positions 524 to 776 of the family's 1533-position model. RNAcentral also lists the same sequence under 1 other name. The record is from RNAcentral.